GCCUACGGGAGGCAGCAGUGAGGAAUAUUGGUCAAUGGUCGGGAGACUGAACCAGCCAAGCCGCGUGAGGGAUGAAGGUACAGAGUAUCGUAAACCUCUUUUGUCAGGGAACAAAGGCGGGGACGUGUCCCCGGAUGAGUGUACCUGAAGAAAAAGCAUCGGCUAACUCCGUGCCAGCGGCCGCGGUAAUACGGAGGAUGCGAGCGUUAUCCGGAUUUAUUGGGUUUAAAGGGUGCGCAGGCGGUCUGUUAAGUCAGCGGUCAAAGCCCGGGGCUCACCCCCGGCCCGCCGUUGAAACUGGCAGG
This 305-nucleotide ribosomal RNA is filed under the name uncultured bacterium. RNAcentral's name for it is "bacterial SSU rRNA". It matches the Rfam family "Bacterial small subunit ribosomal RNA", at positions 337 to 640 of the family's 1533-position model. The record is from RNAcentral.